This 254-nucleotide ribosomal RNA is filed under the name uncultured bacterium. RNAcentral's name for it is "partial 16S ribosomal RNA". It matches the Rfam family "Bacterial small subunit ribosomal RNA", at positions 524 to 776 of the family's 1533-position model. The record is from RNAcentral.
UACAGAGGGGGCAAGCGUUAUUCGGAAUUAUUGGGCGUAAAGGGGCGCGUAGGCGGCUUGGCAAGUGGAUGGUGAAAUCCCUCGGCUUAACCGAGGAACUGCCGUCCAAACUGCUUUGCUUGAGGCCGGGAGAGGUGAGUGGAAUUCCCCAGUGUAGAGGUGAAAUUCGUAGAUAUUGGGAAGAACACCGGUGGCGAAGGCGGCGACCUGGUCUUUUACUGAGCUGAGACGCGAAAGCUAGGGGAGCGAACGGG